This 74-nucleotide transfer RNA is filed under the name Allobogoriella caseilytica. Its description in RNAcentral is "Bogoriella caseolytica tRNA". It matches the Rfam family "tRNA". Rfam says of the family: Transfer RNA (tRNA) molecules are approximately 80 nucleotides in length. Their secondary structure includes four short double-helical elements and three loops (D, anti-codon, and T loops). Further hydrogen bonds mediate the characteristic L-shaped molecular structure. tRNAs have two regions of fundamental functional importance: the anti-codon, which is responsible for specific mRNA codon recognition, and the 3' end, to which the tRNAs corresponding amino acid is attached (by aminoacyl-tRNA synthetases). tRNAs cope with the degeneracy of the genetic code in two manners: having more than one tRNA (with a specific anti-codon) for a particular amino acid; and 'wobble' base-pairing, i.e. permitting non-standard base-pairing at the 3rd anti-codon position. The record is from Rfam by way of RNAcentral. Lineage: Bacteria; Bacillati; Actinomycetota; Actinomycetes; Allobogoriellales; Allobogoriellaceae.
GGGCCUAUAGCUCAGACGGUUAGAGCGCUGUCCUGAUAAGACAGAGGUCGCUGGUUCGAGUCCAGCUAGGCCCA